UACGUAGGGGGCAAGCGUUUGUCCGGAUUUAUUGGGCGUAAAGAGCGUGUAGGCGGUUAUACAGGUCCGCUGUGAAAACUGGAGGCUUAACCUCCAGACGUCGGUGGAAACCGUAUGACUAGAGUCCGGAAGAGGAGAGUGGAAUUCCUGGUGUAGCGGUGAAAUGCGCAGAUAUCAGGAAGAACACCCGUGGCGAAGGCGGCUCUCUGGGGACGGUACUGACGCUGAGACGCGAAAGCGUGGGGAGCGAACAGG
This 255-nucleotide ribosomal RNA is filed under the name uncultured bacterium. RNAcentral describes it as "partial 16S ribosomal RNA". It matches the Rfam family "Bacterial small subunit ribosomal RNA", at positions 524 to 776 of the family's 1533-position model. The record is from RNAcentral.